This 253-nucleotide ribosomal RNA is filed under the name uncultured bacterium. Its description in RNAcentral is "partial 16S ribosomal RNA". It matches the Rfam family "Bacterial small subunit ribosomal RNA", at positions 524 to 776 of the family's 1533-position model. The record is from RNAcentral.
UACGUAGGGUGCGAGCGUUGCCCGGAUUUAUUGGGCGUAAAGAGCUCGUAGGCGGUUUGUCGCGUCGAAUGUGAAAUCCCGGGGCUCAACCCCGGGUCUGCAUUCGAUACGGGCAGACUAGAGUUCGGUAGGGGAGUCUGGAAUUCCUGGUGUAGCGGUGAAAUGCGCAGAUAUCAGGAGGAACACCGGUGGCGAAGGCGGGACUCUGGGCCGAUACUGACGCUGAGGAGCGAAAGCGUGGGGAGCGAACAGG